RNAcentral lists this small RNA (772 nucleotides) under uncultured Davidiella. RNAcentral's name for it is "eukaryotic LSU rRNA". The stretch from base 510 to 772 matches the Rfam family "Eukaryotic large subunit ribosomal RNA", at positions 1 to 261 of the family's 3401-position model. Lineage: Eukaryota; Fungi; Ascomycota; Dothideomycetes; Cladosporiales; Cladosporiaceae. The record is from RNAcentral.
AAGUCGUAACAAGGUCUCCGUAGGUGAACCUGCGGAGGGAUCAUUACAAGAACGCCCGGGCUUCGGCCUGGUUAUUCAUAACCCUUUGUUGUCCGACUCUGUUGCCUCCGGGGCGACCCUGCCUUCGGGCGGGGGCUCCGGGUGGACACUUCAAACUCUUGCGUAACUUUGCAGUCUGAGUAAACUUAAUUAAUAAAUUAAAACUUUUAACAACGGAUCUCUUGGUUCUGGCAUCGAUGAAGAACGCAGCGAAAUGCGAUAAGUAAUGUGAAUUGCAGAAUUCAGUGAAUCAUCGAAUCUUUGAACGCACAUUGCGCCCCCUGGUAUUCCGGGGGGCAUGCCUGUUCGAGCGUCAUUUCACCACUCAAGCCUCGCUUGGUAUUGGGCAACGCGGUCCGCCGCGUGCCUCAAAUCGUCCGGCUGGGUCUUCUGUCCCCUAAGCGUUGUGGAAACUAUUCGCUAAAGGGUGUUCGGGAGGCUACGCCGUAAAACAACCCCAUUUCUAAGGUUGACCUCGGAUCAGGUAGGGAUACCCGCUGAACUUAAGCAUAUCAAUAAGCGGAGGAAAAGAAACCAACAGGGAUUGCUCUAGUAACGGCGAGUGAAGCAGCAAUAGCUCAAAUUUGAAAUCUGGCGUCUUCGACGUCCGAGUUGUAAUUUGUAGAGGAUGCUUCUGAGUGGCCACCGACCUAAGUUCCUUGGAACAGGACGUCAUAGAGGGUGAGAAUCCCGUAUGCGGUCGGAAAGGCGCUCUAUACGUAGCUCCUUCGAC